CUCGGCUCUCGCAUCGAUGAAGAACGUAGCGAAAUGCGAUACUUGGUGUGAAUUGCAGAAUCCCGUGUUCCAUCGAGAUGCAUCGAUGAAGAACGCAGCGAAAUGCGAUACUUGGUGUGAAUUGCAGAAUCCCGUGAACCAUCGAGUCUUUGAACGCAAGUUGCGCCCGAAGCCGUCAGGCCGAGGGCACGUCUGCCUGGGCGUCACGCAUCGCGUCGCCCCCCCCUUCCCGCGACC
Molecule: ribosomal RNA, 237 nt
Filed under: Jacquemontia curtissii
Lineage: Eukaryota; Viridiplantae; Streptophyta; Magnoliopsida; Solanales; Convolvulaceae
Description: 5.8S ribosomal RNA
Rfam family: 5.8S ribosomal RNA (bases 79-206)
About the family: 5.8S ribosomal RNA (5.8S rRNA) is a component of the large subunit of the eukaryotic ribosome. It is transcribed by RNA polymerase I as part of the 45S precursor that also contains 18S and 28S rRNA.
Source: RNAcentral